This 477-nucleotide ribosomal RNA is filed under the name uncultured bacterium. Its description in RNAcentral is "SSU rRNA". It matches the Rfam family "Bacterial small subunit ribosomal RNA", at positions 26 to 518 of the family's 1533-position model. The record is from RNAcentral.
AGGGCAAACGCUGGCGGGGUGCAUGAGACAUGCAAGUCGAACGAGGUGCCAUCGGGCUUGCUCGAUGGUUACCUAGUGGCGGACGGCUGAGUAACGCGUAGGUGACCUACCCGGAAGUGGGGAAUAACUGCCCGAAAGGGUGGCUAAUACCGCAUGUGGUCGGCGAUUCGAUUCGCCGUCUAAAGGAGCAAUUCGCUUCCGGAGGGGCCUGCGUCCGAUUAGCUAGUUGGUGGGGUAACGGCUCACCAAGGCGACGAUCGGUAGCUGGUCUGAGAGGAUGAUCAGCCAGACUGGGACUGAGAACGGCCCAGACUCCUACGGGAGGCAGCAGUGGGGAAUCUUGGACAAUGGGGGCAACCCUGAUCCAGCCAUGCCGCGUGAUCGAUGAAGGCCUUAGGGUGUAAAGAUCUUUCAGCUGGGAAGAUAAUGACGGUACCAGCAGAAGAACGCCCCGGCUAACUCCGUGCCAGCAGCCGC